Molecule: ribosomal RNA, 819 nt
Filed under: uncultured Alphaproteobacteria bacterium
Lineage: Bacteria; Pseudomonadati; Pseudomonadota; Alphaproteobacteria
Description: bacterial SSU rRNA
Rfam family: Bacterial small subunit ribosomal RNA
Source: RNAcentral
CAUGCAAGUCGAACGCCCCGCAAGGGGAGUGGCAGACGGGUGAGUAACGCGUGGGAGUCUACCCUUUUCUACGGAACAACUGAGGUGAAACUUCAGCUAAUACCGUAUACGGCCGAGAGGCGAAAGAUUUAUCGGAGAAGGAUGAGCCCGCGUCUGGAUUAGCUAGUUGGUGGGGUAAAGGCCUACCAAGGCGACGAUCCAUAGCUGGUCUGAGAGGAUGAUCAGCCACACUGGGACUGAGACACGGCCCACACUCCUACGGGAGGCAGCAGUGGGGAAUAUUGGACAAUGGGCGCAAGCCUGAUCCAGCCAUGCCGCGUGAGUGAUGAAGGCCCUAGGGUUGUAAAGCUCUUUCACCGGUGAAGAUAAUGACGGUAACCGGAGAAGAAGCCCCGGCUAACUUCGUGCCAGCAGCCGCGGUAAUACGAAGGGGGCUAGCGUUGUUCGGAUUUACUGGGUGUACAAGCGCACGUAGGCGGACUAUUAAGUCAGGGGUGAAAUCCCGGGGCUCAACCCCUGAGCUGCCUUUGAUACUGGUAGUCUUGAGUUCGAGAGAGGUGAGUGGAAUUCCGAGUGUAGAGGUGAAAUUCGUAGAUGUUCGGAGGAUCACCAGUGGCGAAGGCGGCUCACUGGCUCGAUACUGACGCUGAGGUGCGAAACCGUGGUGAGCAAACAGGAUUAGAUACUCUGGUAGACCACGCCGUACACUAUGAGAGCUAUCCGUCCGGCAGUAUACUGUUCGGUGGCGCAGCUGACGCAUUAAGCUCUUCGCCUCGGGAGUACGGUCGCACGAUUACAUACUCAAUCGAUUCGUCGGGC